Molecule: long non-coding RNA, 822 nt
Organism: Parus major (Great Tit)
Lineage: Eukaryota; Metazoa; Chordata; Aves; Passeriformes; Paridae
Exons: 2
Source: RefSeq, a predicted model, not a curated record
CGCGGCGCCUGCGCGGUGGGGUCGCCGCGCUGCUCCUCUGGCCCCGAGGUGAUGGAGGCGGCGGCGCGGCGGCUGCCGCGGGAGCAGGAGCGGCAGCAGGAGGAUGGCGGGCGGGUGCUGUCACGAUCCCUGUCGGGACAGUCCUACUGGCUGGACCUGUGGCUCUUCAUCCUCUUCGACCUGGCGCUUUUCCUGCUUAUCUACCUGCUGCCCUGAGGGCGCGGCCCAGGGCCAUUGCCACCAAGGGAAUUCUCACCCAUUUCGCACCUUAGGAACGCAGGCGGUGGAAAAGAAGGACCAUUUGUGCGGGACGAGCAGCUGGGAACACGACUCCGCUUGAGCCUCGAUGGAGGAGGCACAUUUUUAUACUGUGUGGCAAUAGAUCUCUGUGUGUCACAAGUGUUGCUGUUCAGGUUUUACCUGUAUCCUGCUUCUGUGUCCUAAACUGUGCCUUAAGGGUUAUGUGUGAGAGACUGAUGGUGUUUUUGUGAUCAGUCCCGAAAGUUUAUUGUGCAGGAAUGGAAGUGUUCACUGUUAGAAUAAAAUCCACUGCAAGGACACCCUGCAGAGUGGCUGAGAAUAAAACCCAGCUAUUGUGUACACUGGAGUUAUAACUCAGACCUGUUCCCUCAAGAGAUGGAGCUUAGCCAGCCAUUCUACUUCCAAAAAGUUAAUCCUCAUGGGUUGAUGCUGGUUGAACUUCUAUUAUACUGUCCUCUGUUUUUUCUUUCUUUACCUUCAGCAGUUACUGAGCCCUCUCAGGCUUGGUAUUUAUAAAUAUAAAUAUAUAUGUAUAUAAACAUGUCAGUGUUUAACCCAGCA